UACCAGCACCCCGAGUGGUCGGGACGUUUUAUUGGGCCUAAAGCAUCCGUAGCCGGUUCUACAAGUCUUCCGUUAAAUCCACCUGCUUAACAGAUGGGCUGCGGAAGAUACUAUGGAGCUAGGAGGCGGGAGAGGCAAGCGGUACUCGAUGGGUAGGGGUAAAAUCCGUUGAUCCAUUGAAGACCACCAGUGGCGAAGGCGGCUUGCCAGAACGCGCUCGACGGUGAGGGAUGAAAGCGUGGAUAGCAAACAGG
This 254-nucleotide ribosomal RNA is filed under the name uncultured bacterium. Its description in RNAcentral is "partial 16S ribosomal RNA". It matches the Rfam family "Archaeal small subunit ribosomal RNA", at positions 474 to 727 of the family's 1478-position model. The record is from RNAcentral.